AGCCUCAAUUCUUGUCUCUUCACUCUACAGACCCUCCAAAACCCUUGUCAUCCACCGCCGUUUACGGCGGCGUACUCCUUAUUUCUCCGUCAUCCCCGGCGAACCAGCAAUGGCAUCUACACCGGUGUCAGAACUCUCCGACGGACCAGUCCUGAGUGUGAUCAACAAGCGUCUCCGUGCUCUUCGCAAGAAACACAGCCGCAUUCUCCAAAUGGAAGAAUCCCGCACGAAAGGAAAAACUCUUAACAAGGAGCAAGAAGAAACUCUCCGCUCCAAAUCCGCUGUUAUUGCUGCCAUUGAUGAGCUCGAGAAGCUUCGUCAGCCACUAGCUGCUGCUGUGGUUGAAGAAAUCAACCUCUCCACUGGACAACACCAAGUUUCUCCAGCAGAAUCCGCCGUUAAUAUCUCUAUUGAUUCUACUGACAAGGGAGAACCUGCACGCGAGGGUGUUUUGGUGGUUGAGGAUUUACUUAAUCUAUUGUACUUUGGUAGUAUGUUUGAUGUGAAGUCAUUGCAGAGUGAUUUUACACCUACGAUGUUGACGAGGACUAUGGAGAGAGCUUGUUGUUUGAGCUACGACUGUAUGCCGGAUGAUGAAUCAACGGACGUGAUGGAUCUGUUAGGGGAGAGAGAUUUGGAUUUGAUUUCUAUGCUUAGUGGGUUGCUUGUUUCACGGCCUGUUAACUCUCCCUUGUCACACAAGCACGCUCUUCAGAAAUGUAUUGAGCAUGCAAAGCUAUGGCUUUCGAAGUCCGAGCAGCCCAUUGAACCCAAUUCCGAUGCUACUUAUGCCGGGCUGAGAUCAAAGCUCGAUAAGAUCAUUGCUUCACUAUAUUUUACCACUGACCCUGUUAAAGUGGAGGCAGCUGCUGGUAAAUAUGGAUCUUAUUCGGUGCCAGUAGAAGAGCAUCAUGUGGAGGCUGUGCCUGUUGAUGUACCCUUGCAGGUGGACACUCCAAGUGUGCAGUAUGAGCAGAAGGAAGAAGCUGUAAGUUCUCAAGCAAUUGAAACUAAUGACAAUCACAUCAGCAAUAAUAUCGAACUGCAGCAGGGUGGACAGGAUAUCAAUCAACCUGCUGAACCAGAAGAAGUCGUGUUUGAGGUUGAAGGCGUUGACAAUAUGAAGGAUGCAGAUUUCAAUGAGCAACAAUCUGUUCCCCGGAGAUCUUACCAGAAUCAGAAUUACAGGGGUAACCGUGGUGGGAGUGUGGGUGACCGUCGUGGAUAUUCCAAUGGUCGUGGAGGACGUGGCAGAGGAGGGUCCUAUCAGAAUGGUCGCAACCAAUACUAUGACCAAUCUGGUAAUUAUCAACAGAGGAACUACAAUAACUAUAGGGGAAGAGGUGGCAGGGGUACAGGUGGUGGCGGAGGUUAUAAUCAUUACACUUCAGGCGAUCAAGCUGGCAGUUACUCUGCUGAUUUAAGGUGAUUAUAGAUCCUUUGCUAGUUUCAUCAAGGUGUUUUCCCUAUCACAUUGGAUGACGCACGCAAGUGUUUUCUACUUGCUCGUGCAUCAUCUCGGAGACUAAUUUUAAGUUGAAAGAAUUGGGGUUAUUGUCAAUUUGAGAUAGAAGAGAACCGUAGUAGCCUUUUUCAGAUAGCGUUUACCUGCAGAUCGUAUUCACUUUUUUUUUUCGUUUCGCUCUAAACGUUCUUAACACUUGCUAGUUUUAUAUUGCGUCUGCAGAUAUGAAAUGUGAAAGGUUCGAUUUGUAUCAAUGCCUACUUCAGACAGGAGGUGAUAAUUAUAUAACACUUGUUUUUGCCUUGCCAAUUCUUCAACUUUCAGCUUCAGUGACAAUAAUCAGUUUCUCAACGAUAUUAAUAAGGUUAAAGUUCGAUUACACCUCCAGAUGAAAGUAAAUGCAACGACUCAAAAGGUAAAAGCCUAAAUCAAAAUGCA
Molecule: unclassified non-coding RNA, 1903 nt
Filed under: Hevea brasiliensis (rubber tree)
Lineage: Eukaryota; Viridiplantae; Streptophyta; Magnoliopsida; Malpighiales; Euphorbiaceae
Source: RNAcentral